Molecule: microRNA precursor, 127 nt
Filed under: Myotis brandtii (Brandt's bat)
Lineage: Eukaryota; Metazoa; Chordata; Mammalia; Chiroptera; Vespertilionidae
Description: mir-9193 microRNA precursor family
Rfam family: mir-9193 microRNA precursor family
Source: Rfam by way of RNAcentral
CGUGCACCGGUGGGGUCCCUUGGCCUGGCCUGCGGGGAUUGGGCAGAAACCGGCUCACCGACAUCCCCUGAUGGGUCCCGGAUAGCAAGAGGGUGCAGGCCAGGCCAAGGGACCCCACUGGUGCACU